Molecule: ribosomal RNA, 380 nt
Filed under: uncultured soil bacterium
Lineage: Bacteria
Description: bacterial SSU rRNA
Rfam family: Bacterial small subunit ribosomal RNA
Source: RNAcentral
AGAUUGAACGCUGGCGGCAUGCCUAACACAUGCAAGUCGAACGGGAGUAGCAAUACUCUAGUGGCGGACGGGUGAGGAAUACGUAGGAAUUUGCCCUUAAGUGGGGGAUAACCCGGGGAACCCGGAUUAAUACCGCAUGGCCUCGAAAGAGCAAAGUGGGGGAUCGCAAGACCUCACGCUUUUGGAGAAGCCUACGUCGGAUUAGCUAGUUGGUGAGGUAAUGGCUCACCGAAGGCGACGAUCCGUAACUGGUCUGAGAGGAUGAUCAGUCACACCGGAACUGAGACACGGUCCGGACUCCGUACGGGAGCAGCAGUGGGAAUAUGGACAAGUGGGCGCAAGCCUGAUCCAGACAAGUCGCCGCGUUGUGGUGAAGAAGG